CCUGCGGAAGGAUCAUUAUU
This 20-nucleotide ribosomal RNA is filed under the name Cortinarius sp. 12 MD-2018. Its description in RNAcentral is "partial 18S ribosomal RNA". The record is from RNAcentral. Lineage: Eukaryota; Fungi; Basidiomycota; Agaricomycetes; Agaricales; Cortinariaceae.